UUAAAUUGAAGAGUUUGAUCAUGGCUCAGAUUGAACGCUGGCGGCAGGCCUAACACAUGCAAGUCGAACGGUAACAGGAAGCAGCUUGCUGCUUUGCUGACGAGUGGCGGACGGGUGAGUAAUGUCUGGGAAACUGCCUGAUGGAGGGGGAUAACUACUGGAAACGGUGGCUAAUACCGCAUAAUGUCGCAAGACCAAAGAGGGGGACCUUCGGGCCUCUUGCCAUCAGAUGUGCCCAGAUGGGAUUAGCUUGUUGGUGAGGUAACGGCUCACCAAGGCGACGAUCCCUAGCUGGUCUGAGAGGAUGACCAGCCACACUGGAACUGAGACACGGUCCAGACUCCUACGGGAGGCAGCAGUGGGGAAUAUUGCACAAUGGGCGCAAGCCUGAUGCAGCCAUGCCGCGUGUAUGAAGAAGGCCUUCGGGUUGUAAAGUACUUUCAGCGGGGAGGAAGGUGUUGUGGUUAAUAACCACAGCAAUUGACGUUACCCGCAGAAGAAGCACCGGCUAACUCCGUGCCAGCAGCCGCGGUAAUACGGAGGGUGCAAGCGUUAAUCGGAAUUACUGGGCGUAAAGCGCACGCAGGCGGUCUGUCAAGUCGGAUGUGAAAUCCCCGGGCUCAACCUGGGAACUGCAUUCGAAACUGGCAGGCUUGAGUCUUGUAGAGGGGGGUAGAAUUCCAGGUGUAGCGGUGAAAUGCGUAGAGAUCUGGAGGAAUACCGGUGGCGAAGGCGGCCCCCUGGACAAAGACUGACGCUCAGGUGCGAAAGCGUGGGGAGCAAACAGGAUUAGAUACCCUGGUAGUCCACGCCGUAAACGAUGUCUACUUGGAGGUUGUGCCCUUGAGGCGUGGCUUCCGGAGCUAACGCGUUAAGUAGACCGCCUGGGGAGUACGGCCGCAAGGUUAAAACUCAAAUGAAUUGACGGGGGCCCGCACAAGCGGUGGAGCAUGUGGUUUAAUUCGAUGCAACGCGAAGAACCUUACCUGGUCUUGACAUCCACGGAAGAAUUCAGAGAUGGAUUUGUGCCUUCGGGAACCGUGAGACAGGUGCUGCAUGGCUGUCGUCAGCUCGUGUUGUGAAAUGUUGGGUUAAGUCCCGCAACGAGCGCAACCCUUAUCCUUUGUUGCCAGCGGUCCGGCCGGGAACUCAAAGGAGACUGCCAGUGAUAAACUGGAGGAAGGUGGGGAUGACGUCAAGUCAUCAUGGCCCUUACGACCAGGGCUACACACGUGCUACAAUGGCGCAUACAAAGAGAAGCGACCUCGCGAGAGCAAGCGGACCUCAUAAAGUGCGUCGUAGUCCGGAUUGGAGUCUGCAACUCGACUCCAUGAAGUCGGAAUCGCUAGUAAUCGUGGAUCAGAAUGCCACGGUGAAUACGUUCCCGGGCCUUGUACACACCGCCCGUCACACCAUGGGAGUGGGUUGCAAAAGAAGUAGGUAGCUUAACCUUCGGGAGGGCGCUUACCACUUUGUGAUUCAUGACUGGGGUGAAGUCGUAACAAGGUAACCGUAGGGGAACCUGCGGUUGGAUCACCUCCUUACCUUAAAGAAGC
Molecule: ribosomal RNA, 1556 nt
Filed under: Salmonella enterica subsp. enterica serovar Chester str. ATCC 11997
Lineage: Bacteria; Pseudomonadati; Pseudomonadota; Gammaproteobacteria; Enterobacterales; Enterobacteriaceae
Description: bacterial SSU rRNA
Rfam family: Bacterial small subunit ribosomal RNA
Source: RNAcentral